GAUGAACGCUGGCGGCGUGCCUAAUACAUGCAAGUCGAGCGAACAGACGAGGAGCUUGCUCCUCUGACGUUAGCGGCGGACGGGUGAGUAACACGUGGAUAACCUACCUAUAAGACUGGGAUAACUUCGGGAAACCGGAGCUAAUACCGGAUAAUAUAUUUAACCGCAUGGUUCAAUAGUGAAAGACGGUUUUGCUGUCCCUUAUAGAUGGAUCCGCGCCGCAUUAGCUAGUUGGUAAGGUAACGGCUUACCAAGGCAACGAUGCGUAGCCGACCUGAGAGGGUGAUCGGCCACACUGGAACUGAGACACGGUCCAGACUCCUACGGGAGGCAGCAGUAGAGAAUCUUCCGCAAUGGGCGAAAGCCUGACGGAGCAACGCCGCGUGAGUGAUGAAGGUCUUCGGAUCGUAAAACUCUGUUAUUAGGGAAGAACAAAUGUGUAAGUAACUAUGCACGUCUUGACGGUACCGAAUCAGAAAGCCACGGCUAACUACGUG
This 497-nucleotide ribosomal RNA is filed under the name uncultured bacterium. RNAcentral's name for it is "partial 16S ribosomal RNA". It matches the Rfam family "Bacterial small subunit ribosomal RNA", at positions 28 to 507 of the family's 1533-position model. The record is from RNAcentral.